Molecule: ribosomal RNA, 253 nt
Filed under: uncultured bacterium
Lineage: Bacteria
Description: partial 16S ribosomal RNA
Rfam family: Bacterial small subunit ribosomal RNA
Source: RNAcentral
UACGAAGGGGGCUAGCGUUGUUCGGAAUUACUGGGCGUAAAGUGCACGUAGGCGGAUAUUUAAGUCAGGGGUGAAAUCCCGGGGCUCAACCCCGGAACUGCCUUUGAUACUGGGUAUCUCGAGUCCGAGAGAGGUGAGUGGAAUUCCGAGUGUAGAGGUGAAAUUCGUAGAUAUUCGGAGGAACACCAGUGGCGAAGGCGGCUCACUGGCUCGGUACUGACGCUGAGGUGCGAAAGCGUGGGGAGCAAACAGG